UUGUAUUAGAGCUUUUCUGCCGACAGUCAUCAGAAUGAUCUGCAUGUCCCAGAAGGACAUUGAGCCAACACUGACAGAAGAUCUGAGCUGCAGUGUCACCCCAACGGCUUGGAGAACUGGAAGCACCAUAAACGUCCUCUCCUUUGACAGAUCUGCUCUUUUAUUCCAUAUUGAACCAGCAAGAGUCAUAGAUGAGAAAACUGAGGCACUGAAAGGCUUGUCGAAUAUUAUACAAUUUGUUCUCUCUAAGGAGUAAGGAAACUCCAGAACCUUCCCAGCAGACAACUCUUCACAUCUCAUUGGCACAUGCCUACUCCUAAACCAAUUAGGUAAUAGCCCAAAUCUUAGCCCAGCCCUGGAAUUGGAGUCAGCUUCUUGAAUGUUGUGCAAGUUUAGGUAACACACCCUUUAUCUGGGAACAAGCAGAUCAGAGAAGCCAAGAGAUGGAGGAGAAGCAGGGACAG
Manis javanica (Malayan pangolin) is the source of this 464-nucleotide non-coding RNA. Lineage: Eukaryota; Metazoa; Chordata; Mammalia; Pholidota; Manidae. The record is from RefSeq and is a predicted model, not a curated record.